AGAGGGCAAGGUGAGACAUGAAGGUGAGGUCCUGGAGGGUAUGGAUGGAGCCAGAUGGGCAGAAACCAGGUUCAGGAAGAAAGGAGACCAGCCCCAAGGUACCAGGGAUUCACCGUGGCCUUUAUAGGGUACCCCAUUUCAGCUCAGUGUGACAGGAGGCCACAGGAUGCAUGGUCUAUAUCUUGGUGCCAGCAUCAUGGAGAAGGGUCAUUGAAAGUCUCUGGCUCAUGUGCUUCUGGUACAAGCAGCAAACUACCCCAAUAAGAAGUAAACAAGGGACCACAAGAUGGCUCACUG
This is a long non-coding RNA of Mus caroli (Ryukyu mouse), 297 nucleotides long. RefSeq lists it as uncharacterized. The record is from RefSeq and is a predicted model, not a curated record. Lineage: Eukaryota; Metazoa; Chordata; Mammalia; Rodentia; Muridae.